AGUGAACGCUGGCGGUAGGCCUAACACAUGCAAGUCGAACGGCAGCACAGUAAGAGCUUGCUCUUACGGGUGGCGAGUGGCGGACGGGUGAGGAAUACAUCGGAAUCUACUUUUUCGUGGGGGAUAACGUAGGGAAACUUACGCUAAUACCGCAUACGACCUACGGGUGAAAGCAGGGGAUCUUCGGACCUUGCGCGAUUGAAUGAGCCGAUGUCGGAUUAGCUAGUUGGCGGGGUAAAGGCCCACCAAGGCGACGAUCCGUAGCUGGUCUGAGAGGAUGAUCAGCCACACCGGAACUGAGACACGGUCCAGACUCCUACGGGAGGCAGCAGUGGGGAAUAUUGGACAAUGGGCGCAAGCCUGAUCCAGCCAUACCGCGUGGGUGAAGAAGGCCUUCGGGUUGUAAAGCCCUUUUGUUGGGAAAGAAAAGCAGCAGGUUAAUACCCCGCUGUUCUGACGGUACCCAAAGAAUAAGCACCGGCUAACUUUGUG
RNAcentral lists this ribosomal RNA (492 nucleotides) under uncultured bacterium. RNAcentral describes it as "partial 16S ribosomal RNA". It matches the Rfam family "Bacterial small subunit ribosomal RNA", at positions 29 to 507 of the family's 1533-position model. The record is from RNAcentral.